CAGGGCUUUCGUCUUGUAAUUGGAAUGAUGGUGAUGUACAACCUCACCAGAGUACCAAUUGGAGGGCAAGUCUGGUGCCAGCAGCCGCGGUAAUUCCAGCUCCAAUAGCGUAUAUUAAACUUGUUGCAGUUAAAAAGCUCGUAGUUGUAUUUCAGCCUCGCGUUUUUUCCCUGGUUUUGGGUCUUUUCGCUGGCUUUCUUUUUACUUUGAGAAAAUUAGAGUGUUUCAAGCAGACUUUUGUCUUGAAUACUUCAGCAUGGAAUAAUAGAGUAGGACCUUGGUUCUAUUUUGUUGGUUUUGAGCCUUGGUAAUGGUUAAUAGGAACGGUUGGGGGCAUUCGUAUUUAACUGUCAGAGGUGAAAUUCUUAGAUUUGUUAAAGACGAACCACUGCGAAAGCAUUUGCCAAGGACGUUUUCAUUAAUCAAGAAC
RNAcentral lists this ribosomal RNA (430 nucleotides) under Babesia bigemina. RNAcentral describes it as "SSU rRNA". It matches the Rfam family "Eukaryotic small subunit ribosomal RNA", at positions 486 to 984 of the family's 1831-position model. The record is from RNAcentral. Lineage: Eukaryota; Apicomplexa; Aconoidasida; Piroplasmida; Babesiidae.